CCUANGGGGGGCUGCAGUCGAGAAUAUUCGGCAAUGGGCGAAAGCCUGACCGAGCGACGCCGCGUGCGGGAUGAAGGCCUUCGGGUUGUAAACCGCUUUUCUACGGGAAAAAUUACGAUGAUGGUACCGUAGGAAUAAGAGGUUACUAACUCUGUGCCAGCAGUAGCGGUAAUACAGAGACCUCAAGCGUUAUCCGGAUUUAUUGGGCGUAAAGCGCAGGUAGGCGGCUGUGUUAGUCGUGUGUCAAAGCUCCGGGCUCAACCUGGAAAAGGCAUUCGAAACGGCACAGCUCGAGAAUGUGAGAGAUCGGUGGAAUUCAUGGUGUAGUAGUGAAAUGCGUUGAUAUCAUGAGGAACACCCAAGGCGAAGGCAACCGAUUGGCACAUUUCUGACGCUCAGCUGCGAAAGCGUGGGUAGCGAAUGGGAUUAGAUACCCUNGUGUC
Molecule: ribosomal RNA, 443 nt
Filed under: uncultured bacterium
Lineage: Bacteria
Description: bacterial SSU rRNA
Rfam family: Bacterial small subunit ribosomal RNA
Source: RNAcentral